AUACGGAGGGUGCGAGCGUUAAUCGGAAUUACUGGGCGUAAAGGGUGCGUAGGCGGUUUGAUAAGUCGGAUGUGAAAGCCCCGGGCUUAACCUGGGAAUGGCAUUCGAUACUGUCAGGCUAGAGUAUGUCAGAGGUUGGCGGAAUUCCUGGUGUAGCGGUGAAAUGCGUAGAUAUCAGGAGGAACACCAGUGGCGAAGGCGGCUAACUGGGUCAAUACUGACGCUGAGGCACGAAAGCGUGGGGAGCAAACAGGAUUAGAAACCCCUGUAGUCC
This 274-nucleotide ribosomal RNA is filed under the name uncultured bacterium. RNAcentral's name for it is "partial 16S ribosomal RNA". It matches the Rfam family "Bacterial small subunit ribosomal RNA", at positions 523 to 796 of the family's 1533-position model. The record is from RNAcentral.